RNAcentral lists this ribosomal RNA (276 nucleotides) under uncultured bacterium. RNAcentral describes it as "partial 16S ribosomal RNA". It matches the Rfam family "Bacterial small subunit ribosomal RNA", at positions 82 to 354 of the family's 1533-position model. The record is from RNAcentral.
CCGUUGCCGGCGACCGGCGCACGGGUGAGUAACACGUAUGCAACCUGCCCGUGGCAGGGGGAGUAAGCGGGGGAAACCCCGUCUAAUACCGCGUAACGCGGCCUAGGGACAUCCCAAGGCCGCCAAGGGAGCAAUCCCGGCCACGGAUGGGCAUGCGGCGCAUUAGCUAGUCGGCGGGGUAACGGCCCACCGAGGCGACGAUGCGUAGGGGUCCUGAGAGGAAGGCCCCCCACACUGGUACUGAGACACGGACCAGACUCCUACGGAAGGCAGCAG